AAUGAACGCUGGCGGCGUGCCUAACACAUGCAAGUCGGAUGUGCCGCAAGGUGCAUGGCAGACGGGUGAGUAACGCGUGGGGAAUCUACCUUUUUGUGGGGAAUAACGUUCCGAAAGGAAUGGUAAUACCGCAUGUGAUCACAGUUUGGGAUAGCUGUGAUGAAAGCUGGGGACCGCAAGGCCUAGCGCAAGAAGAGGAUCCUGCGUCUGAUUAGCUAGUUGGCGGGGUAAUGGCCCACCAAGGCGACGAUCAGUAGCCGGCCUGAGAGGGUGAUCGGCCACACUGGAACUGAGACACGGUCCAGACUCCUACGGGAGGCAGCAGUGGGGAAUUUUGCGCAAUGGACGAAAGUCUGACGCAGCAACGCCGCGUGGGUGAUGAAGGUCUUCGGAUCGUAAAACCCUGUCGUCAGGGACGAAGGUAAUGUGCCUAAUACGCAUGUUGCUUGACGGUACCUGGAGAGGAAGCCCCGGCUAACUCUGUGCCAGCAGCCGCCGCGG
RNAcentral lists this ribosomal RNA (501 nucleotides) under uncultured bacterium. RNAcentral's name for it is "partial 16S ribosomal RNA". It matches the Rfam family "Bacterial small subunit ribosomal RNA", at positions 29 to 523 of the family's 1533-position model. The record is from RNAcentral.